RNAcentral lists this ribosomal RNA (253 nucleotides) under uncultured bacterium. RNAcentral's name for it is "partial 16S ribosomal RNA". It matches the Rfam family "Bacterial small subunit ribosomal RNA", at positions 524 to 776 of the family's 1533-position model. The record is from RNAcentral.
UACGUAGGAUCCUAGCGUUGUCCGGAUUUACUGGGUGUAAAGGGUGCGCAGGCGGUCUUAUAAGUCAGUGGUGAAAUCUCGGCGCUUAACGCCGAAACUGCCUUUGAUACUAUAAGUCUUGAGUUUGGUAGAGAUCCGUGGAAUUCCGAGUGUAGCAGUGAAAUGUGUAGAUAUUCGGAAGAACACCAGCGGCGAAGGCAGCGGAUUGGGCCAAUACUGACGCUCAGGCACGAAAGCAUGGGGAUCAAACAGG